RNAcentral lists this ribosomal RNA (312 nucleotides) under uncultured bacterium. RNAcentral describes it as "bacterial SSU rRNA". It matches the Rfam family "Bacterial small subunit ribosomal RNA", at positions 28 to 334 of the family's 1533-position model. The record is from RNAcentral.
GAUGAACGCUAGCGACAGGCCUAACACAUGCAAGUCGAGGGGCAGCACAGAGGUAGCUUGCUACUUUGGGUGGCGACCGGCGCACGGGUGCGUAACAGGUGUGCAAUCUGUCCAUAAUCGGGGAAUAGCCCAGCGAAAGUUGGAUUAAUGCUCCAUGUGAGUUUUAGAGGCAUCUCUUUAAUUUGAAACGUAAGGAUUAUGGGUGAGCACGCUUCUGAUUAGGUAGUUGGUGAGGUAACGGCCCACCAAGGCAACGAUCGGUAGCCGGACUGAGAGGUUGAACGGCCACAUUGGGACUGAGACACGGCCCAG